AAUGAACGUUGGCGGCGUGGAUUAGGCAUGCAAGUCGAGCGAGAAGUUUUCCUUCGGGAGAACGGACAGCGGCGAACGGGAGAGUAACGAGUGGAGUACCUACCCUGAGACUCGGGAUAGCCGUGGGAAACCGCGGGUAAUACCGAAUAAUGUCUCCGGACCAAAGGUGUGAUUCCGUCUUAGGAUGGCUCCGCUUCCUAUUAGCUUGUUGGUGAGGUAACGGCUUACCAAGGCAACGAUGGGUACCGGGUGUGAGAGCAUGACCCGGCUCACUGGGACUGAGACACUGCCCAGACACCUACGGGUGGCUGCAGUCGAGAAUCUUCGGCAAUGGACGCAAGUCCGACCGAGCGACGCCGCGUGCGGGAUGAAGGCCUUCGGGUUGUAAACCGCUGUCAGAGGGGAUGAAAUGCUAUGUGGCAAUCCAUGUAGUUUGACAAAUCCUCAGAGGAAGGACGGGCUAAGUUCGUG
Molecule: ribosomal RNA, 471 nt
Filed under: uncultured bacterium
Lineage: Bacteria
Description: bacterial SSU rRNA
Rfam family: Bacterial small subunit ribosomal RNA
Source: RNAcentral